GCUGGGCAUGGUGGCGCGUGUCUGUAAUCCCAGCUACUCAGGAGGCUGAGGCAGGAGAAUCACUUGAACCCGGGGGGGCAGAGGUUGCAGUGAGCCGAGAUCGCGCCAUUGCAUUCCAGCCUGGGCAACAAGGGCGAAACUCCGUCUCAAAAAAAAAAAAAAUAGUAAUAAUACAAAAAAAAAAAUUAGCCAGGUGUGGUGGCACAUGCCUGUAGCCCCAGCCACUUGGGAUUCUGAGGCAGAAGAAUCACUUGAACCUAGGAGGUGGGAGUUGCAGUGACCCGAGAUCACGCCACUGCACUACAGCCUGGGUGACAGAGUGAGAUUCUGUCUCAA
Molecule: signal recognition particle RNA, 336 nt
Filed under: Pan troglodytes (chimpanzee)
Lineage: Eukaryota; Metazoa; Chordata; Mammalia; Primates; Hominidae
Description: Metazoan signal recognition particle RNA
Rfam family: Metazoan signal recognition particle RNA
About the family: The signal recognition particle (SRP) is a universally conserved ribonucleoprotein.
Source: Rfam by way of RNAcentral